RNAcentral lists this non-coding RNA (25 nucleotides) under Mus musculus (house mouse). Lineage: Eukaryota; Metazoa; Chordata; Mammalia; Rodentia; Muridae. The record is from RNAcentral.
UCCUAGGGAUGGAGUAAGCUAGUGA